GGGAUUAUCAACAUUAAAUGGCGGUAAUUUCGUA
Molecule: small RNA, 34 nt
Filed under: Anaerobutyricum hallii
Lineage: Bacteria; Bacillati; Bacillota; Clostridia; Lachnospirales; Lachnospiraceae
Description: CRISPR_Spacer
Source: RNAcentral